GACGAAUCUAUUGCCUGCCAAGGCGCGUGCUUACCGGUGCGCGCGGAGGGCAGCAAAAAACGGCAGUU
Non-coding RNA from Acidovorax sp. SCN 68-22, 68 nucleotides. The record is from Rfam. NCBI's taxonomy places the organism in Bacteria, Pseudomonadati, Pseudomonadota, Betaproteobacteria, Burkholderiales, Comamonadaceae.